Nothobranchius furzeri (turquoise killifish) is the source of this 2366-nucleotide non-coding RNA. Lineage: Eukaryota; Metazoa; Chordata; Actinopteri; Cyprinodontiformes; Nothobranchiidae. The record is from RefSeq and is a predicted model, not a curated record.
AUCUGCACUUUUUUUACUACUACAAAAAACUAUGAACUUAGUUUUAUCGGUAUUUAAAGAAAGCCUAUUGAUAUCAAACAAUUUAAUUUUUGUAAAUUCAUUUUCAACUACAUUCAAAACAUCUUUUAUAUUUUCUCCUGAAUAAAAUAAGGUAGUGUCAUCUGUAACUUGAAAAAUUUUGAAACCAAAGCAAUAUCAUUAACGUAAAAAAGAAAAAGUAAUGGUCCAAAGACCGAUCCUUGUGGUACUCCACAACUAAUAUUAUGUAUAGAGGAUUUUAUAUUAUUAAUUUCCACAAACUGUUGUCGAUUCAUCAAAUAACUUCGGAUCCACUCGUGCUACUCCUCUAAUCCAGUAUUUGUAUAAUUUAUCUAAUAAUAUUACCGUAUUUUCACGACCAUAAGGCGCACCUAAAAGUCUUAAAUUUUCUCCAAAAUGUACGCCGCGCCCUAUGGUGCGGUGCGCCUAUUGUGUUGUUGUGAGACACGAACAUAGUAGAAGACAAAGGGCGUGGCGAGAACUUACGGACGUGAGCGAAGACAGACCUGUGGAUCUGCCACAUCGUCAUUAACAUCCUCGCUAGGGAUGAGCGAGUACACCGCUAUCUGUAUCUGUAUCUGUUCAACCAACUAAAUUAUCUGUGGCUGUGUCUCAAUUCAGGGUCUGCAUCCUACGUCGGCAAGAUUUGUCGGCCGGUUACGUCACAGCGCCGCGACUAGGCCUGUCCCAAUUCGAAGACUCCUUAAAAUGCGGUCGACGCAUCCGGCCUUCUUUUCGCCUGAAUGAAGGAUGGGUCCGGUGUAUCCUUCAAAGGGUAGCAUUUCCCAAGAUGCCUUGCGGGCCAGCCGGCAGAAAAACGGCGGACAGUGAAGCGGGAGCUGUCGGAGAGGAUUGCGCAUAUGAAUGUCAGUAUAAACUUGAAAACUGUUAGGUUAAGGGUUUUUUGUGAUACAUGAACGUUAUUUUAGUUAGAAAUGUUACAGUAGAAGUGCUUGUAUUGCGGUCUCGGCUCGUAUGUUCGGCCGCUCGGUGUCAUACUUCUCCCGCUACGUUUUCCCCCUGAUUUUAAUAGGAGUUUGUAUUUUAGGGACAAGAGAAAACCAGGGAAUUUAUUAAGCUUAGGGCGGAGAUGGACCACAUGAUCACUGGAGCAAAGUAUUCGGCAGCUGUGGCAUGGAGACUAUUCUGGAGAAAAUGGGCAUCCAGGAGAAGGUGACAGCGAGGACCAGCUUCUGGAGCUGAUCAGGGAGGACAUGAGGCUGCAGAGGGAGGCAGAGCAGCAGAGGGCCCAGGAGAGAAGGGAGAACUUUGACAGGCUUUUUACUUUGCUAGAAAAAAAUGGUUAAUAAAGAUUAAACAUGUACAUAUAAAAGAAAUAUCUAAAUAAAAUCAGUUCUGCAUUAAACUCUUGAAUUUUAUUUUGGUUUACAAAUGAGAAUUGUUUACUAGAGGGUAUCCAGCUGGGUCUGAAAAGUCUUAAAAGGUGAUAAAUCGGUUUUGGUCAAAUUAAGAACCUUAGAAAGUAUUAAACACUAUUAUCACAUCUUUGCUCAAGCUCAGCUAGUGGAAAGUAUUUUCUCCGAAUUAUCUCUCCAACGAUCAAGGAAAUGAUUAAAGAUCUAAAUAAAACUUCGAGCUCCAUCGUUUAAAGUUCCUUCUCCCUUCUGCUCAGCGGUUCCACGGUUGCUAGGCGACGGAACGUUCGCCGAGGGAGAGGCGGGAAUUCAUGAAAGCUAGGCCUGUCCAAAUUCACAGCCGUUAACAUCCAGUCUACCCGGCCGACGGAGGACCCAGCCCACGUCGGCCGAGUAGGCUGGGUCCUUCGAAGGAUGCAGACUCUGAAUUGAGACACAGCCUGUAUCUGUACUCGGAAUGGGCGUGGCAUAACCCGGAAGUGGGCGUGGCUUAACCGGAAGUGGGUGUGGUUUACAUCAAUAUAUUAUGUUAAGUCUAAAAUUGAUAUGGAUUGAUCAGAAGUUGAUAUGUGUAUUGUUUAUUUAAAAACUAUUUACAGAGCAGCCUCAGAAUAGAGAUUAAAUGUUUUUGAUCACAAUAGUAAAGAAACUAUUACAGAACAAGUGUUUCAAUAAAAUCAGAACAUUAAUAUUUAAGUGCAUGAAUUAAUACGUCUGAACUCAUGCAGUAGGAACUAGGAAAUAUGAAAUACUAGAACCAGACACAACUUCAUAUAUAUUUUUUAUUUUAAUUUGAUUAAACUGAUUUUUUUCUUAACGUUCUUGGCAUUUUCCCACACAAAGUUAAACAAAACAAUGUUGAUUGAGGUGUGUGUGUGUGUGUGUGUGUGUGUGUGUGUGUGUGUGUGUGUGUGUGUGUAUGUGUGUGUGUGUGUGUGUGUGAGAGAGAGA